This 484-nucleotide ribosomal RNA is filed under the name uncultured bacterium. RNAcentral describes it as "partial 16S ribosomal RNA". It matches the Rfam family "Bacterial small subunit ribosomal RNA", at positions 899 to 1397 of the family's 1533-position model. The record is from RNAcentral.
ACUCAAAUGAAUUGACGGGGACCCGCACAAGCGGUGGAUUAUGUGGUUUAAUUCGACGAUAAACGAGGAACCUUACCUGGGCUCAACUACUAGCUGCAGACUUCCAGAAAUGGAUUUCGCCUUCGAGGGUGCUAGAUAGGUGCUGCAUGGUUGCCGUCAGCUCGUGCCGUGAGGUGUACCGUUAAGUCGGGAAACGAGCGCAACCCACGUCGUGUGUUAAAUAUACACGCGAGACUGCCCGCGCAAGCGGGAGGAAGGAGUGGACGACGUCAAAUCAGCAUGGCUCUUACGUCCAGGGCUACACACAUAAUACAAUGGCCGGUACAAUGGGUUGCGAAACCGCGAGGUGGAGCUAAUCCCACCAACACCGGUCUCAGUUCAGAUUGAAGGCUGCAACUCGCCUUCAUGAAGUUGGAAUCGCUAGUAAACGCCUAUCAGCCACGGGGCGUUGAAUACGUUCUCGGGUCUUGUACACACCGCCCGU